GACGAACGCUGGCGGCGUGCUUAACACAUGCAAGUCAAACGGAAAGGCCCUGCUUUUGUGGGGUGCUCGAGUGGCGAACGGGUGAGUAACACGUGAGUAACCUGCCCUUGACUUUGGGAUAACUUCAGGAAACUGGGGCUAAUACCGGAUAGGAGCUCCUGCUGCAUGGUGGGGGUUGGAAAGUUUCGGCGGUUGGGGAUGGACUCGCGGCUUAUCAGCUUGUUGGUGGGGUAGUGGCUUACCAAGGCUUUGACGGGUAGCCGGCCUGAGAGGGUGACCGGCCACAUUGGGACUGAGAUACGGCCCAGACUCCUACGGGAGGCAGCAGUGGGGAAUAUUGCACAAUGGGCGGAAGCCUGAUGCAGCAACGCCGCGUGCGGGAUGACGGCCUUCGGGUUGUAAACCGCUUUCGCCUGUGAUGAAGCGUGAGUGACGGUAAUGGGUAAAGAAGCACCGGCUAACUACGUG
This 468-nucleotide ribosomal RNA is filed under the name uncultured bacterium. RNAcentral describes it as "partial 16S ribosomal RNA". It matches the Rfam family "Bacterial small subunit ribosomal RNA", at positions 28 to 507 of the family's 1533-position model. The record is from RNAcentral.